GUAGGGUGCGAGCGUUAAUCGGAAUUACUGGGCGUAAAGCGUGCGCAGGCGGUUUUGUAAGCCAGAUGUGAAAUCCCCGGGCUUAACCUGGGAAUGGCAUUUGGGACUGCAAGGCUGGAGUGUGGCAGAGGAGACUGGAAUUCCUGGUGUAGCAGUGAAAUGCGUAGAUAUCAGGAGGAAUACCGAUGGCGAAGGCAGGUCUCUGGGCUGACACUGACGCUCAUGCACGAAAGCGUGGGGAGCAAACAGGAUUAGAUACCCUGGUAGUCCACGCCCUAAACGAUGUCGACUGGUUGUUGGGGGUUUGACACUCUCAGUAACGAAGCUAACGCGUGAAGUCGACCGCCUGGGGAGUACGGCCGCAAGGUUA
Molecule: ribosomal RNA, 370 nt
Filed under: uncultured bacterium
Lineage: Bacteria
Description: bacterial SSU rRNA
Rfam family: Bacterial small subunit ribosomal RNA
Source: RNAcentral